UCCUACGGGACGUAGCAGUGGGGAAUAUUGCACAAUGGGGGAAACCCUGAUGCAGCGACGCCGCGUGAGCGAUGAAGUAUUUUGGUAUGUAAAGCUCUAUCAGCAGGGAAGAAAAUGACGGUACCUGACCAAGAAGCCCCGGCUAACUACGUGCCAGCAGCCGCGGUAAUACGUAGGGGGCAAGCGUUAUCCGGAUUUACUGGGUGUAAAGGGAGCGUAGACGGUCCUGCAAGCCAGAUGUGAAAGCCCGGGGCUCAACCCCGGGACUGCAUUUGGAAACUGUGCUGCUGGAGUGUCGGAGAGGG
RNAcentral lists this ribosomal RNA (305 nucleotides) under uncultured bacterium. RNAcentral's name for it is "bacterial SSU rRNA". It matches the Rfam family "Bacterial small subunit ribosomal RNA", at positions 337 to 658 of the family's 1533-position model. The record is from RNAcentral.